UUUCUUUAGGGAUGAACAAGUUCCUGAUAAUUGAAUUCAUUCAUCACUUUGUCUACAUCACCGUUUUCAUGUUUUGCUGAUCAUUAUCGUAUGUUACAAUU
This is a small nucleolar RNA of Solanum pennellii, 101 nucleotides long. RefSeq annotates it as small nucleolar RNA snoR99. Lineage: Eukaryota; Viridiplantae; Streptophyta; Magnoliopsida; Solanales; Solanaceae. The transcript has a single exon. The record is from RefSeq and is a predicted model, not a curated record.